This 253-nucleotide ribosomal RNA is filed under the name Phocaeicola coprocola DSM 17136. RNAcentral describes it as "partial 16S ribosomal RNA". It matches the Rfam family "Bacterial small subunit ribosomal RNA", at positions 524 to 776 of the family's 1533-position model. The record is from RNAcentral. Lineage: Bacteria; Pseudomonadati; Bacteroidota; Bacteroidia; Bacteroidales; Bacteroidaceae.
UACGGAGGAUGCGAGCGUUAUCCGGAUUUAUUGGGUUUAAAGGGAGCGCAGACGGGAGAUUAAGUCAGUUGUGAAAGUUUGCGGCUCAACCGUAAAAUUGCAGUUGAUACUGGUUUCCUUGAGUGCAGUUGAGGCAGGCGGAAUUCGUGGUGUAGCGGUGAAAUGCUUAGAUAUCACGAAGAACCCCGAUUGCGAAGGCAGCUUGCUAAACUGUAACUGACGUUCAUGCUCGAAAGUGUGGGUAUCCAACAGG